UAGCUCAGCGCAGAACCUCCCGUGUUACCAAGCAUGAGGCGGAAUGUUGCGUAAAGGGAAAGGUCGCUUCCAGCCCAACCGGACACACCUGUGCCAAGAAGGCCACGAAUUGGCCAGCUCAUAACCUGACGGAGAAAGCGCCAUAGAGGGUGUAAGCCCCGUGGGCGGGUGUGCUGAUCAUGCACUCCGGUUUGGGACGACCUUCUUCCCUGAGAGUCGCGUUGCUUUGGCAUGCAGCGCUAAGCUGGUCGUAAACUCGAUCAAAGGCUAAAUAUAUCCACAGGACCGAUAGUGAACAAGUACCGUGAGGGAAAGUUGAAAAGUACUCUGAAGAGAGAGUCAAAAGAUCGUGAAACUGCUCAGAGUAUAAGUCAAUGUUGUCUGAAGGCGAGGCUAUCUUAUCUGCCGCCGGGGAAUGUGAUCCUUUUGUAUGCGUAAUGUUGUACGACUGCGAUGGACUCCUCGUUGCUACGGAAAGAUUUUAAGUGAAAUAGUCGGGGUUUGUGCUAUUGGAUUUCAAGUAACCUUGUUGUAAACCCAAGCACUUAGUGCUUUAGCAAAUAAAGAUUUUAUUAUCUGUUUGCACACUCGAAAGGACGCUGUUUCCUUCAGGCAUAGGGGCAUUGAGUUGACAACCCACUGCAGGGCAGGCUAACCAAGUUAAUGUCGGCAUUUUGUCUUCACGCCAGGUGGGGAGCUCUGACCGCGCCCCAUCUACUGUGUCGAAUUUAUGGUGCCGGCGGUUAGUCCCUCCAAUGGAGCACAUCUGUCCUAGGUUCUGCCGUCCACCCCGGAUCGAAAUCAGUAGCCUUAAAUUCGCCCACCAGGUUCUGUUGCAAGGUCACCUGCAUUUAUAAUGUCACACGCUAUCUACCUCAAACUUUUUUUGAUUCUCACUUGUGAGAUGAAAUUGUGCGAGAGUGCCCUUCGCGGGGCUCAUCCUCCCCUUUAUGGCCUUAUAUUGUUAAAUGCUCUGUCAUGUCCGGUUUCUGAUUGCUAAUAAGAGAAUCGGUCGGCAUGCGGCCAAAUAAAAGGGUUUCCACUGUGUUGUAAUGGAUGCACGCGUUUUGUGCUGCAGUGUAUGAUCCUUUUGAAUUUGUUAAAUUCUUUCGAGAGUUUUAACAUUGAACGCAUAACGCGACAUUUCCUAUCUGGCUUAGAUCGGGCCGCUCUCAGGACCUUCUCAUGUGCCGAGUUGCUUAGUCCUUGGAACUGCUUGCCCGUGCGGUCUGUGGUCUAUUCUGGCUCGAAAGAUCAGUACAACCACUCCGCAUGAGAGCGGCCUUCUCAAUUGGUGAUAAUAUCAGACAACAUUGAUCACGUCUCGAAACACGGG
This 1336-nucleotide ribosomal RNA is filed under the name Nicippe recticaudata. Its description in RNAcentral is "eukaryotic LSU rRNA". It matches the Rfam family "Eukaryotic large subunit ribosomal RNA", at positions 104 to 664 of the family's 3401-position model. Lineage: Eukaryota; Metazoa; Arthropoda; Malacostraca; Amphipoda; Pardaliscidae. The record is from RNAcentral.